UACAGAGGGUGCAAGCGUUAAUCGGAGUUACUGGGCGUAAAGGGCGCGUAGGCGGUUAAUUAAGAUGGAUGUGAAAUCCCUGGGCUUAACCUAGGAACUGCAUCCAUGACUGAUAGACUAGAGUACUGUAGAGGGUAGUGGAAUUUCCGGUGUAGCGGUGAAAUGCGUAGAGAUCGGAAGGAACACCAGUGGCGAAGGCGGCUACCUGGACAGAUACUGACGCUGAGGCGCGAGAGCGUGGGGAGCAAACAGG
Molecule: ribosomal RNA, 253 nt
Filed under: uncultured bacterium
Lineage: Bacteria
Description: partial 16S ribosomal RNA
Rfam family: Bacterial small subunit ribosomal RNA
Source: RNAcentral